This 274-nucleotide ribosomal RNA is filed under the name Rusavskia elegans. Its description in RNAcentral is "partial large subunit ribosomal RNA". It matches the Rfam family "Eukaryotic large subunit ribosomal RNA", at positions 1 to 273 of the family's 3401-position model. The record is from RNAcentral. Lineage: Eukaryota; Fungi; Ascomycota; Lecanoromycetes; Teloschistales; Teloschistaceae.
GACCUCGGAUCAGGUAGGGAUACCCGCUGAACUUAAGCAUAUCAAUAAGCGGAGGAAAAGAAACCAACAGGGAUUGCCUCAGUAACGGCGAGUGAAGCGGCAACAGCUCAAAUUUGAAAUCUGGCCCCUCCGGGGUCCGAGUUGUAAUUUGUAGAGGGUGUUUCGGGCGACGCGCCGGUCUAAGUCCCUUGGAACGGGGCGUCAUAGAGGGUGAGAAUCCCGUAUGCGACCGGUGACCGAGCCUGUGUGAAACCCCUUCGACGAGUCGAGUUGU